This 440-nucleotide ribosomal RNA is filed under the name uncultured bacterium. RNAcentral's name for it is "bacterial SSU rRNA". It matches the Rfam family "Bacterial small subunit ribosomal RNA", at positions 340 to 774 of the family's 1533-position model. The record is from RNAcentral.
UACGGGAGGCAGCAGUGGGGAAUAUUGCACAAUGGGCGCAAGCCUGAUGCAGCCAUGCCGCGUGUAUGAAGAAGGCCUUCGGGUUGUAAAGUACUUUCAGUCGUGAGGAAGGUGUUAAGGUUAAUAACCUUAGCAAUUGACGUUAGCGACAGAAGAAGCACCGGCUAACUCCGUGCCAGCAGCCGCGGUAAUACGGAGGGUGCGAGCGUUAAUCGGAAUUACUGGGCGUAAAGGGCACGCAGGCGGUUAAUUAAGUUGGAUGUGAAAUCCCCGGGCUUAACCUGGGAAUGGCAUUCAAGACUGGUUGGCUAGAGUCUUGUAGAGGGGGUAGAAUUCCAUGUGUAGCGGUGAAAUGCGUAGAGAUGUGGAGGAAUACCGGUGGCGAAGGCGGCCCCUGGACAAAGACUGACGCUCAUGUGCGAAAGCGUGGGGAGCAAACG